This 409-nucleotide ribosomal RNA is filed under the name Actinomycetes bacterium. Its description in RNAcentral is "Actinobacteria bacterium partial 16S ribosomal RNA". It matches the Rfam family "Bacterial small subunit ribosomal RNA", at positions 355 to 776 of the family's 1533-position model. The record is from RNAcentral. Lineage: Bacteria; Bacillati; Actinomycetota; Actinomycetes.
UGGGGAAUAUUGCACAAUGGGCGGAAGCCUGAUGCAGCGACGCCGCGUGGGGGAUGAAGGCCUUCGGGUUGUAGACUCCUUUCGACAGGGACGAAGCUUUUGUGACGGUACCUGUAUAAGAAGCACCGGCUAACUACGUGCCAGCAGCCGCGGUAAUACGUAGGGUGCGAGCGUUGUCCGGAAUUACUGGGCGUAAAGAGCUCGUAGGUGGUUUGUCGCGUCGUCUGUGAAAUUCCGGGGCUUAACUCCGGGCGUGCAGGCGAUACGGGCUGACUUGAGUGCUGUAGGGGAGACUGGAAUUCCUGGUGUAGCGGUGAAAUGCGCAGAUAUCAGGAGGAACACCGAUGGCGAAGGCAGGUCUCUGGGCAGUAACUGACGCUGAGGAGCGAAAGCAUGGGUAGCGAACAGG